RNAcentral lists this ribosomal RNA (377 nucleotides) under uncultured bacterium. RNAcentral describes it as "bacterial SSU rRNA". It matches the Rfam family "Bacterial small subunit ribosomal RNA", at positions 521 to 896 of the family's 1533-position model. The record is from RNAcentral.
UAAUACGAAUCGUCCAAACGUUGUUCGGAUUCACUGGGUUUAAAGGGCGCGUAGGCGGUGCGUUAAGUCGGCGGUGAAAUACUUCGGCUCAACCGGAGAAUUGCCGCUGAAACUAGCGUGCUCGAGGGAGGUAGAGGUGCGUGGAACUUCCGGUGGAGCGGUGAAAUGCGUUGAUAUCGGAAGGAACACCUGUGGCGAAAGCGAUGCACUGGACCUCUUCUGACGCUGAGGCGCGAAAGCCAGGGGAGCGAACGGGAUUAGAUACCCCGGUAGUCCUGGCCAUAAACGAUGGGGACUAGAGAGUAGAUGCUCCGAUGUAUUUACUCUCGAAGCAAAAGUGGUAAGUCCCCCACCUGGGGAGUAUGGUCGCAAGGCUG